This 344-nucleotide small nuclear RNA is filed under the name Chinchilla lanigera (long-tailed chinchilla). Its description in RNAcentral is "7SK RNA (ENSCLAG00000021838.1)". It matches the Rfam family "7SK RNA". Rfam says of the family: 7SK was discovered as an abundant small nuclear RNA in the mid-70s but a possible function has only recently been suggested. Two independent studies have found that 7SK RNA binds the CDK9/cyclin T complex (known as elongation factor P-TEFb). P-TEFb activates transcription by phosphorylating the C-terminal domain of RNA polymerase II. Lineage: Eukaryota; Metazoa; Chordata; Mammalia; Rodentia; Chinchillidae. The record is from RNAcentral.
GGACCUGCGGUGAUCUGGCUGUGACCUCUGCCACCCCACUGAUCACCAGGGUUGACUCAGCUGAUCGGGCUGGUCAGGUGGAGGUGCUCUUCUGCUCUCACCACUCCAUGUGCAUCCCUCUUGAAGCUGUGCCCUCAGUCAAGAGGACAACCACCCCCCCAUAGAGGAGGACCAUCUGCUGUGUUAAGGGUUUAUGAGUACCUUUGCUCCCUUGAUAGAACCUUUAAACAAGCUCUCAAGACAGUGCCUUAACUUGAGAGUCAUUUGGCACAUUUUAUAAAAUUUUAUUUAAAUUUCAGGCAAUAAAAUAAAAAUUUCUUAAAUUAGUCCCAGAGAUAGGAUUU